RNAcentral lists this ribosomal RNA (761 nucleotides) under Acinetobacter baumannii. RNAcentral's name for it is "bacterial LSU rRNA". It matches the Rfam family "Bacterial large subunit ribosomal RNA", at positions 2188 to 2925 of the family's 2925-position model. Lineage: Bacteria; Pseudomonadati; Pseudomonadota; Gammaproteobacteria; Moraxellales; Moraxellaceae. The record is from RNAcentral.
GUCCUGGAAAUACCACCCUGGUAAUGUUGAGGUUCUAACUCUGUCCCGUGAUCCGGGACGAGGACCGUGUCUGGUGGGUAGUUUGACUGGGGCGGUCUCCUCCUAAAGAGUAACGGAGGAGUACGAAGGUGCGCUCAGCGUGGUCGGAAAUCACGCGUAGAGUAUAAAGGCAAAAGCGCGCUUAACUGCGAGACCCACAAGUCGAGCAGGUACGAAAGUAGGUCUUAGUGAUCCGGUGGUUCUGUAUGGAAGGGCCAUCGCUCAACGGAUAAAAGGUACUCUGGGGAUAACAGGCUGAUACCGCCCAAGAGUUCAUAUCGACGGCGGUGUUUGGCACCUCGAUGUCGGCUCAUCUCAUCCUGGGGCUGAAGCAGGUCCCAAGGGUAUGGCUGUUCGCCAUUUAAAGAGGUACGCGAGCUGGGUUUAGAACGUCGUGAGACAGUUCGGUCCCUAUCUACCGUGGGCGCUGGAAAUUUGAGAGGAUCUGCUCCUAGUACGAGAGGACCAGAGUGGACGAACCUCUGGUGUACCGGUUGUGACGCCAGUCGCAUCGCCGGGUAGCUAUGUUCGGAAGGGAUAACCGCUGAAAGCAUCUAAGCGGGAAGCCUACCUCAAGAUAAGAUUUCCCUAGGACUUUAUGUCCUCUAAAGAGCCGUUCGAGACUAGGACGUUGAUAGGUUGGAUGUGGAAGCAUAGUGAUAUGUGAAGCUGACCAAUACUAAUUGCUCGUGAGGCUUGACUAUACAACACCCAAGCAGUUG